RNAcentral lists this ribosomal RNA (497 nucleotides) under uncultured bacterium. RNAcentral describes it as "partial 16S ribosomal RNA". It matches the Rfam family "Bacterial small subunit ribosomal RNA", at positions 28 to 507 of the family's 1533-position model. The record is from RNAcentral.
GAUGAACGCUGGCGGCGUGCCUAAUACAUGCAAGUCGAGCGAACGGACGAGAAGCUUGCUUCUCUGAUGUUAGCGGCGGACGGGUGAGUAACACGUGGAUAACCUACCUAUAAGACUGGGAUAACUUCGGGAAACCGGAGCUACUACCGGAUAAUAUUUUGAACCGCAUGGUUCAAAAGUGAAAGACGGUCUUGCUGUCACUUAUAGAUGGAUCCGCGCUGCAUUAGCUAGUUGGUAAGGUAACGGCUUACCAAGGCAACGAUGCAUAGCCGACCUGAGAGGGUGAUCAGCCACACUGGAACUGAGACACGGUCCAGACUCCUACGGGAGGCAGCAGUAGGGAAUCUUCCGCAAUGGGCGAAAGCCUGACGGAGCAACGCCGCGUGAGUGAUGAAGGUCUUCGGAUCGUAAAACUCUGUUAUUAGGGAAGAACAUAUGUGUAAGUAACUGUGCACAUCUUGACGGUACCUAAUCAGAAAGCCACGGCUAACUACGUG